UUUUUCAUUUUUCUUUAUCCGAAGCAUAUGAAAACUCCAUUUUUCAUUUCCCUAUAGUAGUGUUGGUCUUUCCUGGAUAUAUGUAAUUUAAUAGAUUAGAUUUGAUAGGUGGUAUUUCUGCAUUGAUAUACCAUGUUUUCAAUUUCAGUACUGGGAGGACCAUUCAUAAAACAUCAUUUGACAGUCAAGUUACCGCUAUGGACCAUGCUCACACUGGACCGAUCAUUUUCUGUGGAGAUGGGACGGGGUUUAUAUAUUCUGUCAGUAUGAAUUCUCACACAGGAGUAUUAUCCCGCUCUCAUCGGCAUCGAAGUAGCAGCAGGCAGAAAUCUCCAGUCACAACUGUGGAGUCCCGAAGUUUUUCUCUGUUGGCUCGGGGCCCUGUGUUGCUGACAUGUACUCAAGAUGGAAGUUUGUCUUUCUUCAGUGUUGCGCUGGAAAUACAAGGUUAUUUGGCUCUUCAUUGCUCACUCAAAUUAACUCCACGAAUAUACAAUAUCCGGGCUCUUCAUGGGUUAUGGAAGCUGCAGUAGUUAUGGCACUUGUCCUUGCUAAUGGGGGAUUUUGUAGAGGAGAAUAAUGCGGGAAAUGCUGCAUCAGCUCUUAUGGAACGUUUAUCUCCAAAGACAAGGAUGAGUUAAAUGCCUCACUAAGCUGCACAUGAGUUAAAUGCAGACGAGUAGACCACCUACCAGAUUUGCAGCAAAGGUUUUUGUUCUUUUUUCUGCAAUAUCUUGUUCCUCAUUGAGAAUGAAGACUAGUUGCUCUUGUAAUAUGCAGCAUAAGUCUAUAUGGGGGUCAAGAAAGAUUUGUGUCUCUGCAAUGGGUCAGCAGGUUUGUGUCUCUGCAAGCUCACUGGCCAUUCCGUUUUCUAUGACCACUUCUAUGAUUUGGGUGAUUCCGUUCAUGAUCAGAUUGUGAAACUAGUACAGCAGUAUAGCUAGCUAGUUCCUUUAUUAACUUGUGUCUAGUAGAAAUUUUUCAUUCAUUAAGCAUUUAGACUUGUCUUCAGAUCCAGAUUAGUAUAUAUGAGUUAUUUUGAACUGAAGUUCAUGAUUAAGUUUGUGUACAUGAGAUACUAGUGGAUUAAUGGAAAUUGCAAUGAAUGAUUUUGAAUGUGGAUUUUAUGGUUU
This is a long non-coding RNA of Rosa rugosa (rugosa rose), 1133 nucleotides long. RefSeq lists it as uncharacterized. The transcript is spliced from 5 exons. Lineage: Eukaryota; Viridiplantae; Streptophyta; Magnoliopsida; Rosales; Rosaceae. The record is from RefSeq and is a predicted model, not a curated record.